Molecule: ribosomal RNA, 440 nt
Filed under: uncultured bacterium
Lineage: Bacteria
Description: partial 16S ribosomal RNA
Rfam family: Bacterial small subunit ribosomal RNA
Source: RNAcentral
CCUACGGGUGGCAGCAGUGGGGAAUCUUUCACAAUGGGGGAAACCCUGAUGCAGCGACGCCGCGUGAAGGAAGAAGGAUUUCGGUAUGUAAACUUCUAUCAGCAGGGAAGAAAAUGACGGUACCUGACUAAGAAGCCCCGGCUAACUACGUGCCAGCAGCCGCGGUAAUACGUAGGGGGCGAGCGUUAUCCGGAUUUACUGGGUGUAAAGGGAGCGUAGGCGGUUUAGCAAGUCAGAAGUGAAAGCCCGGGGCUCAACCCCGGGACUGCUUUUGAAACUGUUGAACUAGAGUGCAGGAGAGGUAAGUGGAAUUCCUAGUGUAGCGGUGAAAUGCGUAGAUAUUAGGAGGAACACCAGUGGCGAAGGCGGCUUACUGGACUGUAAAUGACGCUGAGGCUCGAAAGCGUGGGGAGCAAACAGGAUUAGAUACCCCUGUAGUC